UAAAAGUUCAUAUCUGGCACCUGACUGCAGUUCCUACUAGCACGGACCAAGAAGGUUUGCAGAUUUUGAUAAUCAUCUGAAAGCACGCCGGUGUCUCUACUUUUUGGCUAUGGAAGAAGUCAUUCCUAGGAUGUUCACAGCAACGUGUGUUAGCAAAGUCCUUCAGCAACGUCCCCUUCAUGGACAGGAGGAAGAGUUGUCACCCGGUCAGAUCUCACCUGGGGCAGGUGCUGAAAUGGAUAAGGAAGAGACUGUCUGUGUUUAUUCUUUAUGGACCACUUCUCCAAGACCUGGAGCUCUGUUUGGCAUAUGGGCACAGCUAUGCAGUGUGCAAAGUUCCUUCUCAUCCUGUUUCUACAUCUUACAACAUCUGCAUCUGAAAGGCCAUCAGCAACAGAGAUGCAAACUAUUUUCCAGCUGUUAACAAACAGAUGGUGAUUAAAACUGGCAACUGUCAACACGCGCCUUUAAAAACAAAACACGGGAAAAUGAUUUGUAAAAAAGAAAGAA
This is a long non-coding RNA of Centrocercus urophasianus (Greater sage-grouse), 510 nucleotides long. RefSeq lists it as uncharacterized. The transcript is spliced from 3 exons. The record is from RefSeq and is a predicted model, not a curated record. NCBI's taxonomy places the organism in Eukaryota, Metazoa, Chordata, Aves, Galliformes, Phasianidae.